RNAcentral lists this ribosomal RNA (497 nucleotides) under uncultured bacterium. RNAcentral's name for it is "partial 16S ribosomal RNA". It matches the Rfam family "Bacterial small subunit ribosomal RNA", at positions 28 to 507 of the family's 1533-position model. The record is from RNAcentral.
GAUGAACGCUGGCGGCGUGCCUAAUACAUGCAAGUCGAGCGAACAGAUCAGGAGCUUGCCGCUCUGACGUUAGCGGCAGGCGGGUGAGUAACGUGUGGAUAACCCCCCUCUCAGACUGGGAUAACCUCGGAAAACCGGCUCUAAUACCGGAUAAUAUCUUGACCCGCAGCGUUCGUUGGUAAAAUUUGCUUUUAAGGAUACUUUUGCAUGGUUCCGCGCCGUUUUUGCUAGUGUGUAUGGUCACGGCUUACCAAGGCAACGAUGCGUAGCCGACCGGGGAGGGUGAUAGGCCACACUGGAAGUGAGACAGCGUCCAGGCUCCUAAGGGAGGCAGCAGUAGGGAACGGUCGGCAACGGGGGAAAGCCUGACGGAGCAACGCCGCGUGAGUGACGAAGGUCUUCGGAUCGUAAAACUGUGUUAUGGGUGAAGAACAAAUGUGUGAGUGGAAAUGGAGAUCUUGACGGUACCUGAAGAGAAAGCCACGGCUAACUACGUG